Molecule: ribosomal RNA, 468 nt
Filed under: uncultured bacterium
Lineage: Bacteria
Description: partial 16S ribosomal RNA
Rfam family: Bacterial small subunit ribosomal RNA
Source: RNAcentral
GACGAACGCUGGCUGCGUGCUUAACACAUGCAAGUCGAACGGAAAGGCCCUGCUUUUGUGGGGUGCUCGAGUUGCGAACGGGUGUGUAACACGUGAGUAACCUGCCCUUGACUUUGGGAUAACUUCAGGAAACUGGGGCUCAUACCGGAUAGGAGCUCCUGCUGCAUGGUGGGGGUUGGAAAGUUUCGGCGGUUGGGGAUGGACUCGCGGCUUAUCAGCUUUUUGGUGGGGUAGUGGCUUACCAAGGCUUUGACGGGUAGCCGGCCUGAGUGGGUGACCGGCCAAAUUGGGACUGAGAUACGGCCCAGACUCCUAAGGGAAGCAAGAGGGGGGAAUAUUGCAAAAUGGGCGGAAGCCUGGGGCAGGAACGCCGCGUGCGGGAAGAAGGCCUUCGGGUUGUAAACCGCUUUCGCCUGUGAAGAAGCGGGAGUGACGGUAAUGGGUAAAGAAGCACCGGCUAACUACGUG